CAGAUCCCAGACCAUCCUGACCCGGGACUGCUCCCAGUCCUGCACGUGCCGGGGCCCAGGGGGGCUCCAGUGCCGCCCCUCUCCCCCUGGGCCACACCUGUGACCUCUUGAAUGGCACCCGGACCUGUGCCCCCGCCCAGGGCGGUGCCUCUUGUCCUCUCCCACCCACUUUGUCACCUUCGAUGGCCUCCCCGGGGCCACCCUGGCCACCGGCGUCUACGUGGUGGCCACUGUGUGUGACGUCCGGGCCCCCACCUGGUUCCGGCUGGGGGUCAUUGGGGACAUCGGGGACCACCCAGGGGUGGUGGCCCUUCACCUCUUCACCCACCACGGGCUCAUCACUGCCCGCACGGACAGCAGGGUCUGGCUCAACGGAGUCCCCACCUCCCUCCCUGCGGAGCUCUCGGGGAAGUUGAACAUCACAGAGUCAGGCGGGACCUCCGGAUCGGGUGGAUCCCAGGAUUCCAGGUGGAACUGGGAGCCCAGGGGGUGACCCUGGAGGUGACAAGGACACACGGGGGACCCUCUGUGGCCUCUGCGGGGACUACGAUGGGGCCACGACCAAUGACCUGCGGGGCCCCGACGGGACAGUGACAGGGGACACGAGGGAGCUGGCACAGGCCUGGAGGGCUCCUGACUUCAGCCAGUGAUGCGGAAAAUCGGCUUUUCGCCGCUGCCAUGACCCGAAACCGCCCCGGAGACGGAACAGCCGCGUUUCUAUAUCCCUCAAACCCGCCCUGCCCUCCCCCCCCCCAAAAAAUAAAAGUUGGGGAGGAAAACGCC
Long non-coding RNA from Chiroxiphia lanceolata (lance-tailed manakin), 783 nucleotides. RefSeq lists it as uncharacterized. The record is from RefSeq and is a predicted model, not a curated record. The transcript is spliced from 3 exons. NCBI's taxonomy places the organism in Eukaryota, Metazoa, Chordata, Aves, Passeriformes, Pipridae.